AUUGAACGCUGGCGGCAUGCUUUACACAUGCAAGUCGAACGGCAGCGCGGGCUUCGGCCUGGCGGCGAGUGGCGAACGGGUGAGUAAUACAUCGGAACGUGCCCAGUAGUGGGGGAUAGCUCGGCGAAAGCCGGAUUAAUACCGCAUACGACCUGAGGGUGAAUGCGGGGGAUCUUCGGACCUCGCGCUCUUUGAGUGGCCGAUGGCAGAUUAGCUAGUUGGUGGGGUAAAGGCCUACCAAGGCGACGAUCUGUAGCUGGUCUGAGAGGACGACCAGCCACACUGGGACUGAGACACGGCCCAGACUCCUACGGGAGGCAGCAGUGGGGAAUUUUGGACAAUGGGCGAAAGCCUGAUCCAGCAAUGCCGCGUGUGUGAUGAAGGCCUUCGGGUUGUAAAGCACUUUUGGCGGGAACGAAAAGGACUGUGCCAAUACCACGGUUCGAUGACGGUACCCGCAGAAUAAGCACCGGCUAACUACGUG
Molecule: ribosomal RNA, 484 nt
Filed under: uncultured bacterium
Lineage: Bacteria
Description: partial 16S ribosomal RNA
Rfam family: Bacterial small subunit ribosomal RNA
Source: RNAcentral